GGCUUGCGUGCUGUAGGUCCUGUGCACGCCAAGCUAGGUGGGCACGCCUACAAGCUAGGCCUCUAGUGUAUGUCCGACUGGGGCAACGUGUAACUACCUCGGCCUAUGCACGCUAACCCUUUAGGUGGCAAGUUGUCGCCGGCUUAGGCGGUGUGCUGCCAUCGCUUAGGCAACGUACCACAGUCGAUUUGGUGGUGUGCCUCUAUUUUCGCACCGUCGUCAUGUCGC
RNAcentral lists this long non-coding RNA (228 nucleotides) under Carica papaya (papaya). RNAcentral's name for it is "long non-coding RNA (CPAP_LNC003140)". The record is from RNAcentral. Lineage: Eukaryota; Viridiplantae; Streptophyta; Magnoliopsida; Brassicales; Caricaceae.